GACGAACGCUGGCGGCGUGCUUAACACAUGCAAGUCGAGCGGUAAGGCCCCUUCGGGGGUACACGAGCGGCGAACGGGUGAGUAACACGUGAGCAACCUGCCCUUCACAUCGGGAUAACCCCGGGAAACCGGGGCUAAUACCGGAUACGACCACCGACGGCAUCGUCUGGUGGUGGAAAGUUCCGGCGGUGGAGGAUGGGCUCGCGGCCUAUCAGCUUGUUGGUGGGGUAACGGCCCACCAAGGCGACGACGGGUAGCCGGCCUGAGAGGGUGACCGGCCACACUGGGACUGAGACACGGCCCAGACUCCUACGGGAGGCAGCAGUGGGGAAUAUUGGACAAUGGGCGAAAGCCUGAUCCAGCAACGCCGCGUGAGGGAUGACGGCCUU
Molecule: ribosomal RNA, 389 nt
Filed under: uncultured bacterium
Lineage: Bacteria
Description: bacterial SSU rRNA
Rfam family: Bacterial small subunit ribosomal RNA
Source: RNAcentral